GAGUGGGAAGAAGAGGGAGCUUGGAGAAGCUUUGAGCAGGUCCUGAAUAGGCAAGUGAGGGGCUUGCCUUAACCCUACAGGAUUCUCAGUCUCCACGUCUACCUCCCACAACAUGUGCAAAUGCUUACAUUCAUGGUGGGUUUCUCCCUCUCCCUUGGAUCCCCAAAGCAGCAAGAGCUGGUGUGGAGCACUCCCCAGUCUAGGCUGGGGGACGCAAGGAGAAGCCAUCCUCACAGCAGUCUCUUCCUGAGAGAUGCUAAGGCGGUGGAGAGACUGCAUAAUGUGCCUUUCCAGGGGGUGUUUCUCUCUAUUGAUUAUUUGAACUGUUAAACUUGAUUACAUUUUACUUUAAUUGUACCAUUUGAAAUUAGAUUCAGGUAAGAUUUCAAACUUAUUAAAUAAAUGGCCCAUAGGACAUUUGGGGGAAUGUCUCAAAAAAGAAAAAUGUAAAUAGAAUCUACAUAUAAAAGUGAUCAAUUUAACAAGCUUUAAGGGGAAGGCAAAGUAAAACAAUAUGAUGUAAUUUGCAGCCACCAGACCGGCAAAAAUAUUCAAAUAUUGAUAAUAUCCAGUUUUAGCAAGAAAGAAUGUGGGGAAAAAUUAGCAAUGAAAUAGUUAUGAAAGUACUUUGGCAAUAUUUGGCAUAUGUUCUGAUCCCACAAUCCUGCUUCUAGAAAGCAUUUCUGUAAAAAUAAGAGCACAGAUUAGGACACACAUUUACAGCCUGUGCUAUAUGAACAAAGCUGAAAUUAACUGGGACUACCGAAUAAAUAAAAUACAUUAUAUUUGCAAAAUAUAUAAUUCAUAGCUAAUAUGACAUUUUAAUUUUUAUAUAAAAAUAUAUUUUUAUAUCUGCCCAUAUGCAUAUGCAUGCAUGCAUACCCAGACAUGUGUAUACACACAUUUACAUACCUGGAAGGAUGUUCCCGAUGUGUUAAAUGGAAAGAGCUAGUUGAAGGGUAGAAUAAAUGAUAUGAUAACGUUUUUGUUUCUAGAGAAGGGAAAGAUACUCUAUAUGAACAUAUAUUUAUAUUGUUGUUGGAAAAAUUUAAAAGUUGUGGGAAAAUCCCCACAAACUGCCAUCAUUGGCUCACUUGGGAAAGUAGAGGUGGAAAGGCAGUGAGCUAUGAUUAGUUUAUAUACCUUGGUGUUAUUUCAGUUUUACAACAAACAUAUAUUACUUUUUGUAAUAUAGGAAACUAUAGGUUUGUAACUAGGAAAAUAUAUAUAAAUUUCAAGAGGACAGAUUUCAGAUUAAUAUGAAUAAUUUUCUAAUAGGCAGGAUUAUUUGGAUUUAGCGAGGGCUCUUCAAGGGGUCACUAGUCUUUCUUAAUUGUGAGCGGUCAAGCAUAAGUUAGAUGAGGACAGUGUUAGGAAGGAGAUUCUGGUAUAAGAUGCAAAGUUGGACAAUGUAGCCUCAUUGGUCUUUUUAAAUUAUGACAUGCCAGGCUUCUACAAAGUCCACAUUUCAAGGCGUUUCUGCGUUUGGCCAAAUGAGAUGCUAGACUCUCAUUUCAAUGCAUUUUUGCGUCUUUAUUUACUUCAAAUUAGUAAGAAAUGUUGAAACCUAGAGUCAUCCUAAACUAUUUCUUUAGCUCUGAUCCCCCCUCAAGCAGCAAACAAAAUUACAACACAAUGUUGUAAGUGCUAUUCUGAAGAUGUGCUUUGCAAGGUGACUCUAAGCCAGCCUAGAAGUGGAGGGAUCAAGGAAGGGUUGCUGGAAGAGGUGACACCUGAGCUGAGUCUUAAAGGAUGUUUUCUCAAGGCUCACCUCCUCUGCAGAGUGCAGACCUCCACGUCGCUGCACUUUGCACACGUCUCCAUGAUCGCUUGCAUUGCACUAAUUGUCUUUGAUAUGUAUCUUCCUUCCUAGUUUCUAAAUUGCUAGGGAGAAACUAUGAGUUUUAUUUAUCAUUACACCUCAGCCAUGACUGCAUGACUAGCAGAACAUUCAAUAAAUAUUUAUAGAAUCGAUUGGUUUUCAUUUUAGUUCAUAACUCACAGACGUAGUGAAGGACAUCCAUUCUUAUGAAUUCUCAUGAUGAACAUUAAUUCACAGCACAGUUCUGCAUCUGCUUUUGAGUUUGUUGUUGUUGUUGUUGUUGUUGUUGUUUUGAGACAGAGUCUCACUGUCACCCAGGUUUGAGUGCCAUGGCACGAUCUUGGCUCACUGUAACCUCCACCUCCCGGGUUCAAGCGAUUCUCCUGCCUCAGACCCAAGUAGCUGAGAUUGCAGACGUGCGCCACCAAGCUCGGUUAAGUUUUGUAUUUUUAGUAGAGACAGGGUCUCACUAUGUUGGCCAGGCUGGUCUCAAACUCCUGACCUCAGGUGAUCGGCCCGCCUCGGCCUCCCAAAGUGCUGGGAUUACAGGCAUGAGCCAAUACGCCCGGCCUAUUUUUGAGAUUUUCUGCUGCUACUCCAGCUUAGCCUGACAGAGCUUUCACUUUUUGUUCCUACCCCUUCGUGUGCAUCUGAACAAUCCACAAGCCUCACGAACUCCUGUGGCUUCCCUCCCUUCGAGCUGUAUCCACCAUGACCUCUUGACCAGGGCUGAGGGAGAAGGAGGAGGGUCGUGCCACUAUCCUAGCACCCUCUGUCAAGAGCCACAGUCAUCAGAACCAUGGAGUGACUGACUGGGUGCUGCAAAAUGCUUAGAAUGUCACCAGAAGCAAUGAGAGGAUGUCCAAAUACAGUGGUACUGGGAAUUCCAGUCCUUGGAGUCUAUCAUGAUAAUUUGUCAUGCUGUUUUAUCUUAAGAGUGGCUCAAGAAAACGGACUUGCAAGGAAGCCCAAAAGGAGGGAGCCAGACCCUUUGGGAAGCAGCAACAACCAACCAGAGCGGCGCCACACUGUCCCACCCACUUUAGGAAAACUUCACCAGAAACAAACCAAGAAAAACCAGAGUUCCUAGACAUAUCCAGGUUUCCUAAGCUUUUCAUCUAGAAUAUUGUUCGUUUUAGGUUAUAACUGUCGCUAUGUGUUCUCUAGCUAUUUGGGUCAACAAAACCAAAUUAGUAAUGAAAACCUGACAUGGAUUUGGGGGUUCUGACCAGACACUCUGUACUGUAUCAGGCAAGGAUUUAACAAUGCAACUUAAAUUUAAGAGACUAUUUAUAGUUACACAUGUACUUUCUUCAUAAGGUUGUCUUAUAGGUUUAAGCAUAGAACAAAAUUUCAGGCACCAGAACUGGCCCAGAGAAUUCUCCCUGUGUUUUGCAAAGAGGUAUCAAUUUGUAAUUUCUUUUUAUCAGUGUUGUAAUUUUAAUAAAAUAUGAGAGUUUAUAAAAAAACAUGCAAUCCAAACCUAAGUAAGGGUAUAACAAACACAAACUAAGCAAAGAAAUAGAGAACUUAAAUUUGGUGGUUUUUUUUUUUUUUUUUUGCUUGUUUUUUUCUUUUUAACCUAG
This 3408-nucleotide long non-coding RNA is filed under the name Homo sapiens (human). RNAcentral's name for it is "HSALNT0190927". Lineage: Eukaryota; Metazoa; Chordata; Mammalia; Primates; Hominidae. The record is from RNAcentral.